Long non-coding RNA from Lycium barbarum (goji berry), 1259 nucleotides. RefSeq lists it as uncharacterized. Lineage: Eukaryota; Viridiplantae; Streptophyta; Magnoliopsida; Solanales; Solanaceae. The record is from RefSeq and is a predicted model, not a curated record. The transcript has 3 exons.
CGAAGACAUUCUUUGAGCCAUUUCGACAUUUUAGAGAUCUAAGAGGGGUAAUGCACUUGACCAUCUUGACGGUGUAGUGGUGCUUGAAAAACUCUAUGUAGCAUCCACUAGUGGCAGAGUAACAGCACUAUUUGUCGGGAUGGCAGGUGAAAAGAGGGGUAAGAAAACAAAGAAGGCUAACGAGACAGCGGUUCCCCGGAGACCACCAGAAAACCUUGCGAUUAGAGAUAGAAGCCCGUCGCCAUGUCUCCCACCACGCGGCGCUCCAUUGCCUCAUGAUCCCCUCAUGAAUGGCAUUGCAUAUAGUCUUCCACCUCCGUACAGCUUUGGUCGGCCCUAUAUGGCUCCACGCCAGGGCUUUACUGAGGUGCCUCCCCAGAGCCCCUCGAUGAUGUCCACACCAGGUUAUGCUACCCCACAAGGCUUCACUCGGUAUACUUCCGGGUCUCAGCGGGCUUCGUCUAGUGGUACUCCGACGGCCACUCCCAGUCCGACUGCAUCACAUCACUCUUCAUCAUCUACUGAACAGUAUGAGAUUAUAGGUCCUGACCUUCGAGCAAGUAGUUCUGUGCCUGACGCUCCUGCUGCGAAUGACUUACUUAGAGGUGUAAGUGCUCCACAGCUUGAAACUUAUGACUCAUCAAGGCGACUCAUCAUCGAGCCUGUGGGAUACGGGUAAAGUCCACUAGGCAUGAUGCCUAGGGCUAAUUAACAUAUAUUUUCUUCAAAGCAAAACGAUUAAAGAAGCUUUAUUAAGUGUUUAAUUUUAUAUUUUUGAUAGUUGGUUACCGGACAAAGCUUCAUCUCUCCUUACAGAAGAGAUACAAAAACUAUUUAAAGACUCACCUACUUGGGGCCAGAUGUCACCAAAUCGCUAGAGACAAAUCUAUUUUGCCUUUAAGGUAUAUGCUUAUUUUUAUUUAAACAAUCCACUUAUAUUGAUCGAUUACUUAUUAAUAAACUCAUUUACUUUUCGUUGCAGGACAAAUGUGUCUGGCGCCCGGAACAUGAGAUGCAGAUGACUCAAAACUUCAAGAAGAAAGCUCAGCGCUUACUAUGUGACAUGUUAGGAAGGGUUCGUCAAUCUAACAAGAAGACUGGGUGGAUCCUUCUUGAAAACUAUAACAAGCUACUUCAUUACUGGGCAGCUAAUGAAAGAUUCUUACAACUGAGUGACAUAGGGAAGAAGGCUAGAAAUUCGACGAAGGGUGGCUCCCUACACACUAGUGGGGCUAUGAGUCAAGAGGCCGUGAGGAGGA